GACGUAGGGUGCAAGCGUUGUCCGGAUUUACUGGGCGUAAAGGGCGCGUAGGCGGCUCGUUAAGUGUGAAGUGAAAUUUUCAGGGCUUAACCCGAAAACUGCUUCGCAUACUGGCGGGCUUGAGGAACGCAGAGGUGACUAGAAUUCCCGGUGUAGCGGUGAAAUGCGUUGAUAUCGGGAGGAAUUCCCAUGGCGAAGGCAGGUCACUGGGCGUUCCCUGACGCUGAGGCGCGAAAGCGUGGGUAGCAAACAGG
Molecule: ribosomal RNA, 254 nt
Filed under: uncultured bacterium
Lineage: Bacteria
Description: partial 16S ribosomal RNA
Rfam family: Bacterial small subunit ribosomal RNA
Source: RNAcentral